This 496-nucleotide ribosomal RNA is filed under the name uncultured bacterium. RNAcentral describes it as "partial 16S ribosomal RNA". It matches the Rfam family "Bacterial small subunit ribosomal RNA", at positions 28 to 507 of the family's 1533-position model. The record is from RNAcentral.
GAUGAACGCUGGCGGCGUGCCUAAUACAUGCAAGUCGAGCGAACAGAUGAGGAGCUUGCUCCUCUGACGUUAGCGGCGGACGGGUGAGUAACACGUGGAUAACCUACCUAUAAGACUGGGAUAACUUCGGGAAACCGGAGCUAAUACCGGAUAAUAUAUUGAACCGCAUGGUUCAAUAGUGAAAGACGGUUUUGCUGUCACUUAUAGAUGGAUCCGCGCCGCAUUAGCUAGUUGGUAAGGUAACGGCUUACCAAGGCAACGAUGCGUAGCCGACCUGAGAGGUGGAUCGCCAACCUGGAACCUAGGCAACGGUCCAGCCCCUUACGGGAGGCGGCAGAGGGAAUUCUUCCGCACUGGCGAAAGCCUGACGGAGCAACGCCGCGUGAGUGAUGAAGGUCUUCGGAUCGUAAAACUCUGUUAUUAGGGAAGAACAAAUGUGUAAGUAACUAUGCACGUCUUGACGGUACCUAAUCAGAAAGCCACGGCUAACUACGUG